RNAcentral lists this unclassified non-coding RNA (253 nucleotides) under uncultured Oligoflexales bacterium. Its description in RNAcentral is "contains 16S-23S intergenic spacer region". It matches the Rfam family "Bacterial small subunit ribosomal RNA", at positions 524 to 776 of the family's 1533-position model. Lineage: Bacteria; Pseudomonadati; Bdellovibrionota; Oligoflexia; Oligoflexales. The record is from RNAcentral.
UACGGAGGGUGCAAGCGUUGCUCGGAAUUAUUGGGCGUAAAGGGUAGGUAGGUGGUCUUGUUUGUCUGGGGUGAAAGCCCUGAGCUCAACUCAGGAAGUGCCUCGGAAACGGCAAGACUAGAGUCCUGGAGAGGCUAGUGGAAUUCCCGGUGUAGCGGUGAAAUGCGUAGAGAUCGGGAGGAACACCAGAGGCGAAGGCGGCUAGCUGGACAGGAACUGACACUCAACUACGAAAGCGUGGGGAGCAAACAGG